AGUUUAUUUGUGUAUGUUGUCGUCGAUGUUUAGCCGCAGCAUUUUACAAAUAAAAUAGCAAUUAUAACAGAAAUCUGCUCACAUGUGCAAUAAUCUAGGAAGACUCUACACACCAGAAGUAAUAUAUAACAUAAAUUGAAGAAUGGAAAGAGGGAAAAUGCCGUCAGCUGGGCGAGGAGCGAAGAGUAAGGCUCCGCAGCACCCUCAGGAUAUCUUUGCGCUGGGCAGCAAGUCUACCGUGGUGGUCUCCAGGGACCCUGAAAAGAGGAAUAUCCACAAACCUUCCUCUAGUGGUGUAGAACGUAAGAGAGAGACCUCAGGGUUUGGCAGCCAGCCCCCCAGUAAGAGGGCUAGGAUUGGCUCACCUGCGGAGGCAGUUGGAGGAACAUCCCUAGAAGUAGACCCAGUAGAUCUGGUGCCAAAUGUCCUGCAGGCUUUGGAUACACAUAAUUCUGAUAAACUGCUGGGCCUCCUCACAGGCUCAAUACGUCUCCUCAAAUCGCAACGUUCAAAACCGGACCCCAUACUCUGCAUGAGCCUACUCUACUUAACAAAGAUACGUCCCAACAUGUUCGCCCACGAGACUGUAACGCAGAGUCUUUGUACGUUACUCAAGAGGGAGCAGGGUGCUGCCUUCAAGAAUAAGGGAAACCCACUGGUGUAUAUACUGGCUUGUAAUAUGCUGUAUGCUGGGCACAGAGAGAGUAAUAACUGGCCUGAUAUAUUUAUUAAGGUAUACAUAGAAGAUGCUCUGAAUGAGCGUUGUUGGGUGGAGUGCUCCUGGUGCAAGUGCUUUGUGGAGAAUGUGGUGACAGCCUUCAGCACCAAACAGCCACCUUCACAUCUUAUUCCUACUGACAAUACACUAGGUACAAUGUCACCAUCAGGAUCUGGUUCUCCUCUGAUGGGGAGCACAGAAGAAGACACAGAUAAUAUGGAGCUGGAUUACUCUGUUUUUCCUAGGUAUUCCAGUAGUUAUGAGGCUGUAGAAGCCUUGGUGUUGGAAGCCAUCAAAGAACAGAUACAAAGGCGAUCAGCCGCCCCCGACGCUAUCGGCAAAGGAUUCCUCAAACUGCUGUCUGCUACUUGCGGCUUCCCUGAGAUCCGCAUGAUAUCAGCGUCCCGCUUAGAAGCAUGGCUGCACUCGGGCAAGCUGUGGCGCUGUGCCCAAGAGUUGUUGGCAUACGUGUGCUGCAACUGCGAUGCGUGCGGGCCCACCGCCGCCCGCGACCACGAGGUGCUGGCCCAGCUCGCCCGCAUGCGCCUCAAGACCAAGCCGCUGCAGGCUGCCUACCAGGCCUGCUUGAGAGAGAUGGUGUCAGACAGCCCGCCACUGCUGCGCAGCGUGGUGACGCACACGAUCUACAACGAGCUGUCCAACGUGCGCUCGCCCAACAACAUGGCGGUGCUGGCCGCGCUCAUACAGGCGCAGCCGCAGCAGGUGCCUGCCGCCAUGGCUGAUACUUACCAGGAGCUAGUACUACGUCCGGAAGACUACCUGCGUCCUCUCCGCGCUCUAACGCGCGAGGUGGUGCGGGCGGCCCGCGCGGACGCGCAGGCGCUGCUGCCGCUCGCACGUGCGCUCGCGCAGCCGCCGCCGCACGAGCCGCCGCAAGAGGUCCGCGAACGCGCCUUCUCAUCCCUAGCCGACCUGUUCUGCUGCUGCUGCCUAGUCACAGCUUCCCACAGCAAGCACCUGGCCGAGUACCGGCAGCAAGUCUGCGUCAUCCAGGCGGCAGCCCUGGGCUGGUUGCUGGACACCGCCAUGCCUGUCUACCGGCCCAGUCGACAUGAUUACCAGCUGGCUCUCAAUAAGGUGAUGUUCGUGGAGCCAGCAGAGACUUACAGCAAGGUGGACAACUGGCCGCCGGAGUCUGAGCGGGCGGUCACGUACCGGCUGUGCUGCGAGGCGCCGCUGCCGCAGAACACGCUGCUGCGAGUCAUCUUCAUCGGCCUGUCCAAGGAUAUACCAGUAUCUCCAGCGGAGGUGUUCGAGCUGGUGGAACAGCUGGUCCGUCGCGCAUGCGCCCUGCCUGCUGAAGAAAACCCACUGCAGGUGGACAAGUUGGAGAUCGCUGACUACAUCUUCCAGCUGUGCCAGUUUAACCCACCAGAUAAUAUUACUCUGCCUGCUGGCUACACUCCGCCAGCGCUGGGCAUCACGUCGCUGUACUGGCGCGGCUGGCUGCUGCUGACGAUGCUGGCGGCGCACAACCCCAGCCAGUUCGCCGAGCGAGCCGCCGCGCUCUACCCCACGCUCAGGGCGCUCAUCGAGCUCUGUAUCACCAAGUAUGUCUCUAGCUACACCCCCAGCCAGUUCGCCGAGCGAGCCGCCGCGCUCUACCCCACGCUCAGGGCGCUCAUCGAGCUCUGUAUCACCAAGUAUGUCUCUAGCUACACCCCCAGCCAGUUCGCCGAGCGAGCCGCCGCGCUCUACCCCACGCUCAGGGCGCUCAUCGAGCUCUGUAUCACCAACAAGCCGAGCAUAGAAUGGAACACCAGCUCAGCAGCUGAAGCUGAGCGUGCAGAAGCUGAGCGGGCUGCUAUCCUACAGUUGGAGACGCACCUGGCCGCCGCUAGUAAUGCCAAGCUGCCUGUUACUGAACACUCUUCGCGGCUGCUUAGUCAGCUCACAACCCUGGAACCUCUCGGCCCAGCUCGGAAGCCACCCCAAGCGAUCAUCGAGACCCUGCAGGCGAUGAGCUCUCAGAUGCGGCUGGGCAAGCUGCUGUGCCGGCAGCCCGCGCUGCUGCUGGAGCUGGUGGAGCGGCACGGCACCCGGCGCGCCAUGCCCUGGCUGCACCAGCUGCUGAGACAUGACCAGCUGGAGCUCAGCGUCCUCCCAGUGCAAUGUCUAUGCGAGUUCCUAUCCGCGGGCGGGGCGGGCGGCGAGGUGGGCAAGGCGGGCGAGCUGUGCGCGCACCUGCGCCGCACCGUGGCCGAGUCGGAGGAGGGCGCCCGCGCAGUCCUGCACUACUACAUGCAGAGGCUCGCGCAUACACAUGCGCCGACACGAGCUACUGCUAGCAGGGGACUGAAACUCGUCCUGCAAUCGUCGGAAGAUACAUCGGAAACGGAUUACAACGCUGAAGUUAGCCCCGAGGAAUGGCUAGACCUACUAUGGGAUCUCCCUCACUGGGAGUCAGUCCGCGAGGAGGUGGUGUGCCGCAUCCGCGCCGCGUGCAUCGUGGAGUGCGUGCCGCGCCACGUGGCCGCCUACAUCGCGUUCCUCGCCGCCUACGUCAGCCGCACUCCCGCAGUCGACCAUACUGAUCUAGUGCUGGAUCUAAGCCAAGUCCUGAUGGAGCGGGCCACAGUGAUGGGCAGCGUGGUCGGCACGGGCGACCGCCCCGACGAGCCCACCGAGCCUCAACAUGCUCAGCACAGAGCGCUCUACUCCGUCACCAAGAUACUGUAUGAGUAUCUGCAGAAGGUACGCACGUCAGACGCGGCGGCCCCGCCCACUCCCACGGAGCCGGCGGCCGGCAGUAGCGCUUGGGCAUUCGGCGAGCGCGUGCUGGUGCAGUGGCCUAGUGGCAAGACUGCGAGGAUACACCUCGUGUUGGCACAUGCGUAUUUGAAGCUGCUGUGUCUUGGACCUUCUAUAUACGACACAAACCAAGAGAUGUACUCCUGGUUAAUGUCAGUGUGGGUGGGUAACGACGCUCCGCAAGCCUUCACCCUGGACACGCAGGAGGAAGCCCUGCUGCUGCCGGACUGGCUGCGCCUGCACAUGGUGCGGUCCGCGCGGUCGCCUCUGCUGGAGUCGGGCAUGAGAGCCAUGACGGCGCCCAAGCUGGCGCUCUUCAUACAGACUUUUGGCAUGCCUGUCACAGCAAUGAGUUCGUUGCUAUGCGCUCUGGACGCGUGCCCGGCGGGCGCGGUGGUGCGGCUGGGCGUGGAGCGCGCCUACAUGGCGCAGCUGCUGGCCGUGCAGCGUGCUCGCGGCGCUGUCGGCGGGGACGCCUUCGCUGCCGCGCUGCGUCUCGCGCUGCCCGCUUACCCGCCCGACGACACGCUUUUCGUCAAAGAGGAAUUACCCGAGGAGCCAGCAGAUGAGUGGGGCAGCAGCGUGGUGCGAGCGCCGCUUCAGCCGGAGCUGGUGGCGCCGCUGCUCAGCACCGUCUUCACCGGCGCCAACACCUUCGCCGGAGAUGUUGAUUCCGCAUUCACUGAACUUAUAUCGCUUAUAACCGAAUCGAUAGCAUCAGGAGCGACGCUAUCGAACACUGGGUACGUGGGGCGUACAUUGUCUUGGCUGCGCUCCCUGGCCAGCAGCGCGGGCGGCGCCGCCGGGCUGGUGCGGCGCCCCGCACACGCCGCGCCGCUGCUGCGGGCGCUGCUGCCGCUGCCGGGGGCUGCUACACUGCAGAUCGCAGACACGCUACUCAUGCAGUGCAAGCUACAAGCAGGCCCAGUGCUUGACGUGCUACGUGCCAUGAUGCAGGGCGGCACUGCCAAGCGGGAUCGUGACGUGCCGGUACCACCUGCAGCUACCAGGCAGCAGCUUAUUGCAGCCUUGGAGACAUCAUCCCCCAGCACCCUGGAAGCUCUCGGCAACCGCAUCAUCUCGAGCCAGGACACUCGGGUCAUUGUGGAUGUCAUCACGCACAUACUCGAGAAGAACCAGGAGGGGCACUACGAGUCGAAGAUUAAACACGAAGACGGCACAUCGGGUCCGGCGCACGUGUUCUCCCGCGGCGGGCUGGGCGUGGGGCUGCUGCUGGACUGGAUGUCCGAGCUGCAGCGCGAGGCGCUCGGGCCCAGCGACCAGCGCCAGAGACAGAUGCAGCUGAUGUUCAGGUCGGGCUGCGCGGCGUGGCGGCCGCUGCUGGUGACGCUGCUGGCACACCGCGCCUCCUGGCGGACCCUGCACUACUGCCUCACCACGCUGCUGCAGCCCGAGGGUGGUUGGUCUCCUACUGCAGUGCUGGACUUCGCGACCACCCUGACGGAGAGCCCCCGCGUGUGGCAGGGCCGCGACAAGACCACGCCCAAGCACCACGUGCCCACUGACACGCUGCGGCUUGAUCAUCAUCAGCUGGGAGUGUUAGUCCGCUACGUGGCUGAGGAAGCAAGGCAAGUGGAAGCACAAGACGGGCCGGAGGCAGCUCGGCGGCGCGUGGACGGGCGCCUGGCGCUGCUGCUGCGCUGUGCGCCGCACCAGCACAGCUUGCUGGCGGUGGCGGCGGCGGCUGAGCAGCAUGACCCCUUGCUGUUGCUGCUGCUGUACAUGAAGGUACCAAAAAUCCUGCCGCUGCUCCUACAAUCCGGCCACCGCAACCGUCCGCCGCAGUUACUAGCGUGCCGCGCGUCGCUGCGCGCUGCGGCGGCAUCGUCCACUAGUGCGACGGACAGAGUGUCGCAUGCGUUGCUGACGGCUAUUGCGGCGCCGCAUCCACAUAGCAAGGAGCAUACGCACAAACUAUGGCGCAUGGAAUCCGACGUGCGCUCGGUAUGGGCGCGGGUGGCGGGCGCCGGCGCCCGGGCGCUGGGGCUGGCGGCGGCGCUGCUGCGCGGGGCCCAGCCUGCUGCUGCGCGGCACCAUGCGCACGUGCUGGCCGCGCUCGAGGUGCUGCCCGAUGCUGAGUUGUUCCAUGCUGAUAACACUGCGGAGCUCCACAGCAUCCUCGAGUGCUUCCUGUCACUAGCACGUGCACAGGCGGGCGGAGUCCUACUGCACCGCGUGGGUGCACUACUACGGAGGUACCUCGCCUGCCGUCCACAACUCGCCGGGGCUCUGCUGCACGCACAUAAAGAUACUAUUGCCAACACGCCGGCGCUAUCGUCGCUGCAGGCGGCGGACGUGUCGGCGCCCGCGUCGGCCGCGCCGCCGCCGCUGGCGCUGCAGGCGCUGCAGAGGCGCUACGACGAGCCCGACAACCUGCACUGGCUGCUGCAGGUAAGCUAGCUCCCCAGCAACACGCCGGCGCUGCAGGCGCUGCAGAGGCGCUACGACGAGCCCGACAACCUGCACUGGCUGCUGCAGGUAAGCUAGCUCCCCAGCAACACGCCGGCGCUGCAGGCGCUGCAGAGGCGCUACGACGAGCCCGACAACCUGCACUGGCUGCUGCAGGUAAGCUAGCUCCCCAGCAACACGCCGGCGCUGCAGGCGCUGCAGAGGCGCUACGACGAGCCCGACAACCUGCACUGGCUGCUGCAGGUAAGCUAGCUCCCCAGCAACACGCCGGCGCUGCAGGCGCUGCAGAGGCGCUACGACGAGCCCGACAACCUGCACUGGCUGCUGCAGGUAAGCUAGCUCCCCAGCAACACGCCGGCGCUGCAGGCGCUGCAGAGGCGCUACGACGAGCCCGACAACCUGCACUGGCUGCUGCAGGUAAGCUAGCUCCCCAGCAACACGCCGGCGCUGCAGGCGCUGCAGAGGCGCUACGACGAGCCCGACAACCUGCACUGGCUGCUGCAGGUAAGCUAGCUCCCCAGCAACACGCCGGCGCUGCAGGCGCUGCAGAGGCGCUACGACGAGCCCGACAACCUGCACUGGCUGCUGCAGGUAAGCUAGCUCCCCAGCAACACGCCGGCGCUGCAGGCGCUGCAGAGGCGCUACGACGAGCCCGACAACCUGCACUGGCUGCUGCAGGUAAGCUAGCUCCCCAGCAACACGCCGGCGCUGCAGGCGCUGCAGAGGCGCUACGACGAGCCCGACAACCUGCACUGGCUGCUGCAGGUAAGCUAGCUCCCCAGCAACACGCCGGCGCUGCAGGCGCUGCAGAGGCGCUACGACGAGCCCGACAACCUGCACUGGCUGCUGCAGGUAAGCUAGCUCCCCAGCAACACGCCGGCGCUGCAGGCGCUGCAGAGGCGCUACGACGAGCCCGACAACCUGCACUGGCUGCUGCAGGUAAGCUAGCUCCCCAGCAACACGCCGGCGCUGCAGGCGCUGCAGAGGCGCUACGACGAGCCCGACAACCUGCACUGGCUGCUGCAGGUAAGCUAGCUCCCCAGCAACACGCCGGCGCUGCAGGCGCUGCAGAGGCGCUACGACGAGCCCGACAACCUGCACUGGCUGCUGCAGGUAAGCUAGCUCCCCAGCAACACGCCGGCGCUGCAGGCGCUGCAGAGGCGCUACGACGAGCCCGACAACCUGCACUGGCUGCUGCAGGUAAGCUAGCUCCCCAGCAACACGCCGGCGCUGCAGGCGCUGCAGAGGCGCUACGACGAGCCCGACAACCUGCACUGGCUGCUGCAGGUAAGCUAGCUCCCCAGCAACACGCCGGCGCUGCAGGCGCUGCAGAGGCGCUACGACGAGCCCGACAACCUGCACUGGCUGCUGCAGGUAAGCUAGCUCCCCAGCAACACGCCGGCGCUGCAGGCGCUGCAGAGGCGCUACGACGAGCCCGACAACCUGCACUGGCUGCUGCAGGAAAUCGAAGCAUGGGGUUCUCGUCGCGGCGGCGCGUGGGGCGGCUCGGGCUGCGCGGGCACGCUGCUGCGCGCGGCGGCCCCGCACGCCGCCGCUGCGCACGCGCCGCUCAGG
This is an RNA transcript of Helicoverpa zea (corn earworm), 7495 nucleotides long. It is a transcript of the gene named integrator complex subunit 1, with no coding region annotated. The record is from RefSeq and is a predicted model, not a curated record. Lineage: Eukaryota; Metazoa; Arthropoda; Insecta; Lepidoptera; Noctuidae. The transcript is spliced from 36 exons.